UAUAUUUUAGUAUAAGAUGUAUAAAAGUUUUUGAUACUUUAGGUAAUGGUUUAAUUCUAUUAAAUAUAA
Molecule: transfer RNA, 69 nt
Filed under: Luciola unmunsana
Lineage: Eukaryota; Metazoa; Arthropoda; Insecta; Coleoptera; Lampyridae
Also listed under: 1 other name
Description: Hotaria unmunsana tRNA-Gln
Rfam family: tRNA
About the family: Transfer RNA (tRNA) molecules are approximately 80 nucleotides in length. Their secondary structure includes four short double-helical elements and three loops (D, anti-codon, and T loops).
Source: RNAcentral